MicroRNA precursor from Cebus imitator (Panamanian white-faced capuchin), 69 nucleotides. The record is from Ensembl. Lineage: Eukaryota; Metazoa; Chordata; Mammalia; Primates; Cebidae.
GUGGGUAGGGGCUGGGGGAGAGCGUGGGCUGGGGUUCAGGGACACCCUCUCAGCACUGCCCUCCCCCAG